AGAUCACAUUCAUACUCAACGAGAUUUGGCUGUAGAGUACGUACUCUUUUAGUGCUCGUUAAGUAAGUACUUAUUGAAAAUAAGUACCUACUCAUUGAGUAUGCGGUUUCGAACGCACCCACAGAGUGAUACCAAUUCUCUCAUCAAAUACUGCAGCAGGUCAUCAGCAGCGAUGUCGAGGGCCAGUGCUGCCGGGACUGUGUACUCCUCAUAUGCGUCAGACAGCAGAACUGUGGCACCUCCGUCUCCCUCCAACACCCCGAUGAAGCUGAAUAGCUGGAUGAGUUCAGCUUGGGAGAAGGUUUGAGACUCGCCCUGAGGCACGAAAUCUCAAUGUGAUCUCCCAGGCUGAGCUCCACCAGGGCCUCGUCACGCCACAGGGACACCUCCACCACCACCUGGCCACACCGGAGAGACAGGUCUCUGAUGGGGACCUCUCCAUCACCCACUCGGGUCAUCCUGGGGACCUGCAACUGCAUGAUCACAAGGAGAGAUGAACCCUCCCCUUGUGAAUAGGUCCUGCUCUUCCCCAGACAGCAGGGCAGUUGGUGGAUUCAGGAGGUAUUUCGCUGACCUUUCUGCCUCCUCUGGCAACUCGAAG
Molecule: long non-coding RNA, 601 nt
Organism: Labeo rohita (rohu)
Lineage: Eukaryota; Metazoa; Chordata; Actinopteri; Cypriniformes; Cyprinidae
Exons: 4
Source: RefSeq, a predicted model, not a curated record